This 968-nucleotide ribosomal RNA is filed under the name Microbacterium sp. RNAcentral's name for it is "bacterial SSU rRNA". It matches the Rfam family "Bacterial small subunit ribosomal RNA", at positions 56 to 1036 of the family's 1533-position model. The record is from RNAcentral. Lineage: Bacteria; Bacillati; Actinomycetota; Actinomycetes; Micrococcales; Microbacteriaceae.
UGCAGUCGAACGGUGAAGCCCAGCUUGCUGGGUGGAUCAGUGGCGAACGGGUGAGUAACACGUGAGCAACCUGCCCCUGACUCUGGGAUAAGCGCUGGAAACGGCGUCUAAUACUGGAUACGAGUAGCGACCGCAUGGUCAGUUACUGGAAAGAUUUAUUGGUUGGGGAUGGGCUCGCGGCCUAUCAGCUUGUUGGUGAGGUAAUGGCUCACCAAGGCGUCGACGGGUAGCCGGCCUGAGAGGGUGACCGGCCACACUGGGACUGAGACACGGCCCAGACUCCUACGGGAGGCAGCAGUGGGGAAUAUUGCACAAUGGGCGCAAGCCUGAUGCAGCAACGCCGCGUGAGGGAUGACGGCCUUCGGGUUGUAAACCUCUUUUAGCAGGGAAGAAGCGAAAGUGACGGUACCUGCAGAAAAAGCGCCGGCUAACUACGUGCCAGCAGCCGCGGUAAUACGUAGGGCGCAAGCGUUAUCCGGAAUUAUUGGGCGUAAAGAGCUCGUAGGCGGUUUGUCGCGUCUGCUGUGAAAUCCGGAGGCUCAACCUCCGGCCUGCAGUGGGUACGGGCAGACUAGAGUGCGGUAGGGGAGAUUGGAAUUCCUGGUGUAGCGGUGGAAUGCGCAGAUAUCAGGAGGAACACCGAUGGCGAAGGCAGAUCUCUGGGCCGUAACUGACGCUGAGGAGCGAAAGGGUGGGGAGCAAACAGGCUUAGAUACCCUGGUAGUCCACCCCGUAAACGUUGGGAACUAGUUGUGGGGUCCAUUCCACGGAUUCCGUGACGCAGCUAACGCAUUAAGUUCCCCGCCUGGGGAGUACGGCCGCAAGGCUAAAACUCAAAGGAAUUGACGGGGACCCGCACAAGCGGCGGAGCAUGCGGAUUAAUUCGAUGCAACGCGAAGAACCUUACCAAGGCUUGACAUAUACGAGAACGGGCCAGAAAUGGUCAACUCUUUGGACACUCGUAAACA